This 1554-nucleotide long non-coding RNA is filed under the name Piliocolobus tephrosceles (Ugandan red Colobus). RNAcentral's name for it is "lncRNA (ENSPTEG00000023523.1)". The record is from RNAcentral. Lineage: Eukaryota; Metazoa; Chordata; Mammalia; Primates; Cercopithecidae.
AAUAAAAAAAAAAUAAAUAAAAUAAAAUAAAAUAAAUAAAUAAAAAAAAANNNNNNNNNNAAAAAAAAAUAAAUAAAAUAAAAUAAAAUAAAUAAAUAAAAAAAAAAUAAAUAAAAUAAAUAAAUAAAAUAAAAAGUAAUGAAAUUAAAAAAAUUGCAACAUAAAAAUUGGGGAAACGAAAACAAGAUUGUAAACACUACUUUAAAGUUAAUGAUUAAUGCGUAUAAUAAAACAAUCCAAUUUAAGAAUUAAUAAUCUUUGAGAUAUAUAUAUAUAUAAAUAUAUAUAUAUAUAUAUAUAUACUUUUUUUUUUUUAAUAAAACACAAAAAAAGGCUAUUUUUUAAUGAUUUAUAUGCAUUAAGGUUCUAUAUUAUAUUUUUAUUUUGCUUUCAAUUUUUUAUUUUUCUUAAGUUGUUUCAGUUUUAUUUUUUAUUUAUUUUUUGUCCUGUUGUUCUUCUGUUUUUCUGUUCUUCUGUUUUUCUAUUCUUCUGUUCUUCUAUUCUUCUGUUCUUCUGUUCUUCUGUUUUUCUAUUCUUCUAUUCUUCUGUUCUUCUGUUCUUCUGUUCUUCUGUUUUUUUGUCCUUUUUUUUUUUUUUUUUUUUUUUAUGUAAUCCAAUUUGUUAUAUUAUUUAUCAACUCAUUUGUUAUUUUAAAUUCAUUCUAAAAUCUCUGUUUAAAAAAUAUGUCGAGAUUUAUAGCAAAAAUUAGUAUACAGUCAUGUAACGAAAAACAUAUCUUAUUGAAUAGUAUAAGAAGUACAUUUUUGAGGAAUAGUAGUAACAUAUCGAAAAGGGGAUAUACUACAUUAUUUUAUUUAAAAAUAAAAAAUAACAGUAAUAUAAAUAAGUAUGGAAUAAAUAAUAUUUGUGUAAAUAGAAGUAAUAACAAUAAUAAUAUAAGUAAUUAUAAGAAUUCAUGCCGCUGCUAUAGUUGCCUUUUUAAUAUAGACAAAAAAUAUAUUACUCGUUAUUGGGCCGAAUAUAAUAAGCCGAAAAUAGACGAGUCCAAAAUAAAUGAACUGAGAGAACAAUUUGAAAUUUUAAAAGAUUACAAUGAUAAAGAUUUAAUGAUAUGGUUAGAAUCUUUUAACAAAAUGGAUAAAGACCAUGAUAAUUUUAUUUCUCAUGCAGAUUUACAAAAGAGUGAUUGGAGUUUAGAAAAAUAUACACUUUUCCAAGGUUAUGACAUGGAUAAAAAUAAUUUAAUCGAUUUUGGUGAAUAUAUACAAGCAGUCAUUGCUAUAGAUACACAAUAUUUCAAAAACUUUUUUCAAGAUUUUAGUAAAAUUGACAUCGACCUAGAAUUUCAAAAAUAUGCAAUUACUGAAAAAGAAAAUGACAAAAAGGUUAUCCCUUUAACAAAAUUAAUGCAAAUGUUAAAAGAUAAAGAAUUUACGUGUGUAACCGAAACGGACUCUAUUAAAUUAUUUAAUGCUAUGGACAUUAAUAAGGACGGAAGUAUAGAUUUUGAGGAUUUUGUUCAGGUAUCUAUAAAAAAUAUAACAUAACACUAUAGCGUAGUGUAACACAUAUAUAUAUAUAUAUAUAUAUAUA